ACGGGGAGCAGCAGGCGCGAAAACUUUGCAAUGUGCGAAAGCACGACAAGGUUAAUCCGAGUGAUUUCUGCUAAAGAAAUCUUUUGCUAGUCCUAGAAACACUAGUGAAUAAGGGGUGGGCAAGUUCUGGUGUCAGCCGCCGCGGUAAAACCAGCACCCCAAGUGGUCAGGAUGAUUAUUGGGCCUAAAGCAUCCGUAGCUCGUUUUGUAAGUUUUCGGUUAAAUCCAUACGCUUAACGUAUGGGCUGCCGGGAAUACUGCAUAACUAGGAAGUGGGAGAGGUAGACGGUACUCGGUAGGAAGGGGUAAAAUCCUUUGAUCUAUUGAUGACCACCUGUGGCGAAGGCGGUCUACCAUAACACCUUCGACGGUGAGGGAUGAAAGCUGGGGGAGCAAACCGGAUUAAAUACCCGGGUAGUCCCAGCUGUAAACUAUGCUCGCUAGGUGUCAGGCAUGGCGCGACCGUGUCUGGUGCCGCAGGGAAGCCGUGAAGCGAGCCACCUGGGAAGUACGGCCGCAAGGCUGAAACUUAAAGGAAUUGGCGGGGGAGCAC
Molecule: ribosomal RNA, 553 nt
Filed under: uncultured archaeon
Lineage: Archaea
Description: bacterial SSU rRNA
Rfam family: Archaeal small subunit ribosomal RNA
Source: RNAcentral